Molecule: transfer RNA, 88 nt
Filed under: Bacteroidaceae bacterium
Lineage: Bacteria; Pseudomonadati; Bacteroidota; Bacteroidia; Bacteroidales; Bacteroidaceae
Description: tRNA-Leu
Rfam family: tRNA
About the family: Transfer RNA (tRNA) molecules are approximately 80 nucleotides in length. Their secondary structure includes four short double-helical elements and three loops (D, anti-codon, and T loops). Further hydrogen bonds mediate the characteristic L-shaped molecular structure. tRNAs have two regions of fundamental functional importance: the anti-codon, which is responsible for specific mRNA codon recognition, and the 3' end, to which the tRNAs corresponding amino acid is attached (by aminoacyl-tRNA synthetases). tRNAs cope with the degeneracy of the genetic code in two manners: having more than one tRNA (with a specific anti-codon) for a particular amino acid; and 'wobble' base-pairing, i.e. permitting non-standard base-pairing at the 3rd anti-codon position.
Source: RNAcentral
GGUGGAUUGGUGGAAUUGGCAGACACGGCAGACUCAAAAUCUGUUGCCCUCACCCGGCGUAUGGGUUCAAGUCCCAUAUCCACCACCA